GAUCAUGGCUCAGGAUGAACGCUAGCUACAGGCUUAACACAUGCAAGUCGAGGGGAAACGAUAGAGAAAGCUUGCUUUUUCUAGGCGUCGACCGGCGCACGGGUGAGUAACGCGUAUCCAACCUGCCCAUCACUUGGGGGAUAACCUUGCGAAAGUAAGACUAAUACCCAAUGACGUCUCUAGAAGACAUCUGAAAGAGAUUAAAGAUUUAUCGGUGAUGGAUGGGGAUGCGUCUGAUUAGCUUGUUGCGGGGUAACGGCCCACCAAGGCGACGAUCAGUAGGGGUUCUGAGAGGAAGGUCCCCCACAUUGGAACUGAGACACGGUCCAAACUCCUACGGGAGGCAGCAGUGAGGAAUAUUGGUCAAUGGACGAGAGUCUGAACCAGCCAAGUAGCGUGCAGGAAGACGGCCCUAUGGGUUGUAAACUGCUUUUAUAAGGGAAUAAAGUGAGUCUCGUGAGACUUUUUGCAUGUACCUUAUGAAUAAGGACCGGCUAAUUCCGUG
Molecule: ribosomal RNA, 505 nt
Filed under: uncultured bacterium
Lineage: Bacteria
Description: bacterial SSU rRNA
Rfam family: Bacterial small subunit ribosomal RNA
Source: RNAcentral